GCUCACUUCAGCUGUACAGAUUGUAAAACUGGGACAAUACAGAGACUAGCAUGGCCCCUAUGCAAGGAUAAUACACAAAUUUGUGAAGCAUUCCAUCCAGUA
Small nuclear RNA from Monodelphis domestica (gray short-tailed opossum), 102 nucleotides. The record is from Ensembl. NCBI's taxonomy places the organism in Eukaryota, Metazoa, Chordata, Mammalia, Didelphimorphia, Didelphidae.